UCCGCAGCGUCCUGUACUUGAGAGCAUUUUGGGCAAGCCUAUACUCUCGCUUUAAAUAAAAUAUCUUAGUAUGCCAUGAAGUAUAUGAAAGAGUAAUCUCUUUAAGCUAUGAAUCAAUUAUCUUGGUAUUGGCGACACGUGAAGGCUAUGUAAGCGCGAAAGUUGUUGAUGUUUGUGAUGCUGCCCAUAAAGUACAUACUCCUUGCAUUAUUGUCGAAGCUUACAACCUAGACAUGUUAAGAAUGUUAAGCCUAAUGCUUCACAAAGAACAUUUGCAUGGAGAUGUUGGACUUUACCAUCAACUAAAGAAAAUCAAUGAUUCCGCAACAAAACCUCGAGAUGAGUUUUUUUUUUUUUUAAAUCCAAGAAGUAUAAUGCAAAUCACAUCCGAAACGUUUAUUUAUUUUAAUUUUUAAAUUAAUUUUCAAGGAAGUAUGUAUACUUCUUUCUAUUAUUUGUUCACUUUAUUAUUUAAGAAUCACAUUAUCAAGGUUAAAAGUUGUUUCUAUUAAUAUUUUGGAUGUGGGAUUCCAAUUUGUAUGGAGUGCUCUUUCCUUUUUGCUAUGUAACCAGAAGUUAGGGAGAAAGAGUUUGGGUGACUAUGAUGUGAUUUGAAUACAAUAAUACUUAUUUUGGUGGGGGAGAUAAUAGUUCAUUGUUUUAAGGGAUUUAACAGGGUGAAGUAUUCAAGAUUAACUUCCCGUUUGGUUGAGAGAUCAAGUGAAUGGGGUAACAAAGAGAAAGGAGGAAGUCACAUGGCAUAUUGGUAGUUAAAAGGAGGGUGAGAGAAGAUUCUAAAAACGAGGAUCCAGAAGAUAAAAUAGGAGAAUUUAGAAAGGUGUUGAUUUGCAUGAUCCAGAGAGAAAUUCAUGGAAGGUCACGUAAAUUGAAGAGAGAGAAAAGAAAGAGAAAGUCAUGAGUUGUAGAGAGAGGCUUUUUUUUUUUUUUUGUAUUUAAGAGGGGUGGCAUCUCAAUUAGAACGGAUUUAGAUAUUUUGUAGGGAGUUUUUUUAUGAAAGAAGAAAAGAGAGUUUCUUCUUCCAGUAGAUUUACAGUCACCUUUUACCCUCCAUUAUUAAUGAAUUUUUGCUUGUUUAAGACAAAAAGAAGGCGGAAUGUAAUUUUCUGAGCUCCUUUUGCAUCAUUAUCCUCAUCUCAUGACCGCUAAAAAAAAGAAGUUUAUAAAAUUAUUAAUUAUAUGCAUAUUAUAUUUAAUAAAAUGAUUUAACAAAAGGAUAAGUACAAAAAAAAUAUACUACCCUGGGAUUCCUCUCAUAAAAAUCAGUGGCAUUAGGCCCAUGGCCAUAUGCAUCAACAUCUCCUAUUUGGCUAUAAGGGUUGAGUGGAAUAAUUUGUUAUCAGUAUACUCCGCUUUUGAGAAUUACUUUUAUGACAAUAUAUUGUCACGAUAUUUUUUUCAUGUUUUCAUAGAUAUGCCUCUCAUAACAAUUGUCUAUAAUUUUCAUCAUGAGGAUUUUCGGAUUUGUCACUUAUGGAAACUAACUAACUUAAACAUGUUUAAGUCCGAUUAAGAUAAUGUGCUUAAAAAUAGUUCCACACUUAGAGUCAUUGUCAAUGUGUCAGCAAUCAUAUAAGAUGAUGACAAAUUACUAACAGUUACCUCAUUUUCUCAACUACAUCAUGAAUGUAGUGUUAUUGUAACUCUAUGUGUCUUCUUUUGAAGUUAUUUGUUCCACUUUGUAUUAAUUUAAUUGCAAUGUAAUUAUCACAAAACAUUUUAAUUGGCCCAUCGAUUAUGUGCAGUUUCAAGUCAUCUAUGAAGCGCUUUAUUCGAACUUCAUAAGUACAAACAAUGCUAUAUGCAAUGUACUCGACUUCUUCUGUGUAUCUCAUAACAUACCCUUGUUUCUCGUUAGACAAAGAAACAACAACACCUUCAAAGAGAAAAAUAUGCCUUGAGGUGGACUUACUAUCGUCCUUUUUCCCAACAAAAUCUGUAUCUGAAUAGCUUAGAACUUCAAGCUUAUCUACGUGAAAAUAUAAUUUAAGAUGCUUUGUCCCCUUAAUAUACCUUAGAAUUCCUUUGACUGUGUUCCAAUGGGCUAUAUUGGGAUUGCUUUCAUAUCUACACAAGACCUACAACAUAACUCAAAUCUAGUGUUGUACAUCAUACUACAUAUACAUAGCUUGUGCAUAUGGAAUAUUAAGUUUUUCUUGCUCUUCUAUUGGACAACAGACGUAGAUAGUGGUUUAUAAUUUUUCAUUCUAUAUCUCUUAAGAGCAGAGUCAAGAUAUCAUUUUUGAAUAAAGUUCAAUAUUGUAGAUUUUUUGUGUCUAGUUAUUUUUAUGCCUAGUAUACAAGAUGUAAAUGGUUGCUUCAUGUAAAUGGCUUCAUUUAGUACAUCAUUAAAAAAUGCAGUCUUUACAUCUAUUUGGCUAAGUUCUUGGUCAUAUAAGUGAUGCUUAUUCUAAUGGAUAUAUACAUUGCUAUUGGGGAAAAAAUGACAAUAUAGUAAACUCUAUUUCUUUGGGUAAAACCCUUUGCUACAAACUGAGCUUUAAAUUUAUCAAUAGAUCUAUUAGAUUUUAGUUUCUUUUUAAGUACCCAUUUGCAACCCAUAGGUUUUCUAUCUGAGGGUAAAUCACAUAGAGCCCAAAUUUCAUUUUGCUCAAAUAGAGCCCAUUUCUCCUCUCAUGGUAUUAAGUCAUUAUUAAGAUUUUUGUGAUUUCAUUGCAUCAUUGAAGUCAAAGGGAUCAUCAAUAUCGUCUAGGUCAAUACAGUUAUCUAUCUCCUCACUCAUGCAAGCAUAGAAAUCAUUAAAAUAUGAUAUAGAAGCUCCAGACCUCUUUGGGUGUUUGAAUACUUCAACAUCAUCAUAUCGAUUCGUGUUAUCCAUAUCCACUAAAGGUAGUGGUUCUCAGUCACUUAUGAUCUUAAGAGGAUCAUCAUUAUCUACUACAUGUGGAUUUUCUUCAUUGAAAUCUUAUAGGAACUCAGCAUCUCUGCUUUCAAUGAGUAUCUGAUCCUUAUGACAAAAUCUAUAGCCCUUUGAUCCUUCAAGGUAUCCUAUAAAAUUAUAUACAAGAGUUUUAUCUUCAAAUUUAUCUAUUUUUUGAUGUAGAAUUAUAAGAUGUGUUAUUGACCCCUAUUUCUUUAAAUUACUUCUAUCAGGUCUUCUACCUGCCCACAAUUCAUAAGAGGUAAAAUUUAUUGACUUAGUUGGAGCCCUAUUAAGUAUAUACAACGUUGUACUCAAUGCUUUUCUCCAAAAAGUCUUGGAUAAACUAGCAUGAGCUAUCAUGGAUCUAGUCAUCUCUAAGAGGAUUCUAUUAUGCCUUUCAGCUAUACCUUUUUGUUGUAGCAUAUAAGCAUAGUAUGUCUUUUAAUACUAUUUUCUUUGCAAUAAGUGUUAAAAGCUUCAGAUGUGUACUCACCUCCUCUGUCAGUUCUAAGCAUUUUGAUGUUUCUAUCCAAUUACUUUUCUACUUAUAUAUUUUAAAUAUUUCGAAGGCUACUGACUUGUGGUGGUUUAAGUAAACAUAUCCAAACCUAGAAAAAGCAUAAUAAAAGUGAUGAAGUAUGACAUCUCUUUAUGAGUUUUAACAUUGAUAGGCCUACAAAUGUCUGAGUGGACCAUAUUCAAUAGCUCAUUAACUCUCUCCCUUUAUUAAAUGGUUUCCUAGUCAUUUUUCCUGACAAAUAAUGCUGACAAGUUGGAAAUUCCACAUUAUUGAGAUUUAGAAUAAGACAUUUUUUUAUUAACUUAUUUAUCUUGUCAUUUCCUAUAUGCCCAAGCCUAAGAUGCCCAAUGUAUGCGUCAACAACCAUUGCACAAUCAACAUAACCAAAAUAAAUAAAAACUUUAUUAUAAACUUUACAUGAAGAAGGAACAAAUUAUGCUCAUCAACCAAGAAUCCCAAGCAUAAAUUUGACCAUGCAUUUUGAUUGACACACAAUAAUCAGAAGCGAACUUCAAAGCCCGUUCAAAUAAAUAAAAGGUCAAAUACCAUAUUUCGCCUCAUACUAGGCAUAAAAUAUGCAUCAAUGAAUAUACGACAGACUGCCCCUACAUACAACCUAUCUGUUCUUAUACUUAAUACAUCAGAAUAAGUGUUGUUCCCCAUGUAGGUAUGUAUCUCCUUAGCUUUUAUGUGUUUAAAGUCAUCGAAAAGGCCUUUUGAGCUUGCAAUAUGACGAUUAAUGGUUGAAUCUACCCAUCAUCCAUUAAUAUAGUUGUUUGCAAGCAAGCACUCUGAGACCACACUAAUGACUUUACGCCUCUUGCUCUUAUUUCCACUAUAUUUCUGAUUUUGCAGGUUUUAUAUAUGUGGGCAUCAAUUUUUGAAUUGACAUACCUGACCACUUAUGAAGCAUUUUGGCAGUCAUUGUUUAGUCUCAUGGUUGUGGGGCUUAAUUCCUUUAUUUUUUAACCUAUUAUUUCUCUCAAGGUUUAGAAAAAAAGAUCGGUGACCCGUAUCGACCACCCCCAAAAUCGUGUGAGAUCAAUGGAUUGGCGAUCUUGAUCGAAGAAUCAGCCAGAUCGAAAAGUGUUGGCAUUAAAAAAAUUUAAAAAAAUCACUAGAAUUUCUUAAAAAUCUAGUUUUUUAGGUUUCUAAAAAAAUACUAGUGUUACAUUUUAAUUUUUCAUUAUUUUGCUAAAAAUAAAUAAAUAUUAAGAGUUUGUCUCAUGUUUGAGUGUUUGUUAUCCAUUAUAUUUAUUAUAUGGGAAAAAUAAGAUUUAAAUAGAACUAAUUGCAAUACAAUAGAUAUCUCCAACUCAAAUUUUGAUAGUAAAAAAACAAAAUUUGUACAAAAAGGAAUUUUUAUAAUAAAAAAAUUUCCUUUUCAAAGCAUUCUUUGAACAAUUAAUUAUUGGAAUUUUCAUGAAAAAUCAUAUUUCAACAUGUUACAUAUGGUUUACAUAGGUUUUUCACUUAAUACGAAGAAAUCAUAUUGCAACUAACAGACCUAUGUGGUUUACAUAGGUUUUUCACCACUUUACACAGCUAUUUCUUUGUGCUCUUUCAUUUAAUCAAAGAGUGUGGUGUAGAAGUGGCAAAAGAGCCCAGAGAAAAAUAAUCCCACAUCGGGACUUUAAGAAUGAAAACAUGUCCGUAAAACUUACAUCCCCAAUCCGAAAAUUUAAAAGAGUUGAAGAUGGCGUGGCCAUGCGAUAUGCGGAGCACGUGUUGGGCUUGAUGGGUUGGGCAAUUGGUGCGCACGUGGGAUUUGACGUCACAUAUGCAUUAAAGAUUGGUGGGUCAACAUUAAUGUGGGUAGCGAAGCCACAACAACAUUAAAGAUUGGUGGGCUAUUGCAGGUUUUAUUUUUAUUUUGGAAAAACAUGAGAUUUGAUAUUGAAAACUUGGAAAUACAAGUGGAAAAGCACUAUUGCACUCGGGAACAAUCCGAUAUUGAAAACUUGGAAAUAGAAGUGGAAAAGCACUAUUGCACUCGGGAACAAUCCUGUUUUGUGUCAGAGGAAUGGUAGAGAACUAGUACAGACCGGUUCGAACUAGCCGGUUCUUAAGAAACCUAGCUAGAUUUGAUAUAUUAUGGGUGUAGACGUCUUGAUCUCGAUUGAAAAAAUUAUGGAUAUGCUAAAAUGUCUUAGGAAGAUCACUUAAAUAUUUUAAACCAUUCACCCCACCUGAGCCUUUUACGUAGGCUCUAUCGACUCAAUAUUUCUCCGAUGGGAUCAAAGGCAUCUCAGUCACAAAACAGGUGGCCAUGAAGGUCAGAGGUCUUGUGCCAUUCCUAAUGGUGGCCAGUGCCUUCCUAGUGGCGGCCAGCACCACUCCAAAGGCUACAAGACCCAAGGCACCCACGACCGUCUAGAAUGAAUAGAAGUCUAGUGACAUUGCCAACGUCGCCAGCUCCAUUCUGAAUGUCGCCAGUCUCGGAGACCUCCAAAAGGGGGGAAACAGCCUUGGCUGAGGAGAGUUAGAAGAUACACUGACGUGGCAGGCCGCACUGACAGACAUAACAAGGCUGUAUACGGACUAUGGUUGUCGAAAUAUGAUAAGCUGAGGUUGAGAAGAUAGUACAACUAGUGUGGCGUGCCAACUAGCGUUUGGCGAUAUUGCAAAUGUUGUUGGCACCGUUCGGAGUAGCUUCAAGCUGUGAUUGGUCCAUCAAAACUAUAUCAGAAUCACCAAAACACAACGCGUGUCCAAACAAGAAGUUGAAGGAAGUCGAAAGGCCGUUGGCACCAUUGCUGAUGGUGUCAGUUACUGACAGGGCUGUAUCAAUCGCAUUAAAGAGAAAUUAAUAUUUGUUGAUCGUCAUUAAUACAACAUUAAUGAUGUGGAGUUGGUCCAAGUACCACCGGUGCCACUCCAAACGUUGCCAAAACUCUGAUGGUCCAAAAUUCACACAAAACCGACCUACGGGCGAGUGCAAAGUCUAUUUUUGUCUAUAAAUAUCUCCUUUUGCCUCAGGCCUAAGGUCUGGAUUUUCAGGAUUUUUGAUCCUAGGCUAUGUCCAAACCCCUUUGAUCUUGAGUUCAAGCUUAAGGAUGUAUAAGAAAGCCCUAAGGUGAGCCCAUUUGAGUAACCCCCCAUCUCUCCUAAACCCUUGAAUUCAAAACUAAGCUUCUAACCCCUUCAAGCUAUCUUAUCAAAUCGAAGGCGGUUUGGAUAAUCCGACUGUCCAGGCUCUCUUCCUCCAAUUUCUAUUUUCCCCAUUAACAAUUGAAAGUUCGGGAUUUCUAUGCAACUAUUCGAACUGAAUCAAUGAUGAGCCUGGGGGCCCGACCUACAACAUCAUUUUCUCGUUCCUCUCCUCUUACUUCUAGUAUUUUUGAUAGUUGCAUUCAUGUUUUUUUUCCUUAUUUUCCCUUUUCGUAUGACCAUAUUUACUUUAAUGUUGUAUUUCUUUUCCCUCCUUUAAUGCUGUAUUUAUUUGCAUUUAGUCUUCUCUCUCUUUCUCAUCUCCUUUAUUAAGUAGUUAUUCUCCUUUUCUUUGUUGUGCUUAUUUCCUUUAAGUAGGGGCAUUUAUUUCCAUUUCCCUCUUUUNNNNNNNNNNNNNNNNNNNNCAUCCCUAUCCCCUGUGUGACCUUGCCCUUCCACGUACUCUCUCUUCUUUAUUUUUGUUACUUAUCAUAUAUUUUGUUCAAUAACUUGGUGUCUUUCUUCCUUUUCUUCUUGUAAUAAUUUUUCUUUGUGCUAUUUAUUAUCUUUUUAUUGUUGUCUUGUUUUCAACCCUCUUUAUUCUCUAAUAAAUGUUUCAUUCUAUUUCUUCACCUUUUUCUUUUGUUUGAUGUUUUCUUUUCAUUCUCUCCCUUGUCUGCUUCCUUUCUUUAAGUUCUUAUUCGUCCCCUCUUUCUUGAUUUUUAAUGUAGUAUCCUCCCCCUUAUUCUCUUUAUAUUCAUCUUCUCAUCUUCUUAGCUUUGCUUCUUCUAAUUAGAUAUUGUAUGUUUAGUAUAGAUAGCGAGUUAGAUUUCAUAGUUUCCAUGCUUUUCAUCGUCUUGAUCUUUUUACAUUUCAUGGUUAGAUUCUUUACCUCUGUGCAUGUUUACUUUCCUAGUCUUUUAGCUUACUUGUGGUUAUCCUCUCUUCUUCCUUUUCUAAAUCUAUUUCCCUGAAAAUCUCCUUUUUAUCUUCAAACCCAUAGAAAAUCUUCUUUGUUGAGUUCCAAGGUUGAAAUAGGAGGGAAGCCGGCGUUUCCUGCGGUCUGAGAGGGAUAAGGUUUUAUGGCCUGACUCUCCCUCAUAACAUAAUUUGAUGAGGCCCAUUCUCUUCCAACUCUUCGAUUUGUUUGCACCCAAAAGCAAGGCAGGGCCGAAGUCCCUGUGGUGCACGUGUAUGUCGAGUAUGAACAGUCUGGCGCCCACUGUGGUGCACGUCAAGCUUCCCUUCCAUCUCAACUAUUGAAGCGGCCUCUCGAACAUCUGUUUCAAAAGGCCACCAUCAACUGGGAACUCGUCCCAUCUCGUUUCGAGCUUUUGUUUCUUGUUCGGAGUCCGAAACUGACAAACGUUAUGUAGGGGGAUGUUGCCUGUUUCGGCUGCUUUUGUUUGCUUUCUGAAAUCUCUGGGGACAACAUCAUUGGCAGUGUCGGCAGUGCCAUUUCCUAUGUCACCAGGUCUCUGUGACUCCAGAAAGUCCUCUUGCCUGUCCCAGGCUUGUUAUUGGCCCGUUCGACACUUUUUCGUGAGUCUAGAAGAACAUAGUUUUGACAAUGUUUGCACUGUCUUCAGUGACCUUGCAGUGCUACCAGAAUUAUGUUUCUCUAGUCCUCAGGGUGCGACUAUCUGAAACCACAGUUCCUUGGUGAUGUUGCCACCUGCACCAGGGGCAUAGGCAGUAGCGUCAGACCACUGUUGCCUCGGACAAUCUGUUUCUUAUUGAUAAUAUAGAUUUAUCGCCUUCCUUCCUUUCAGUGCCUCCUCGGCACCCCUGUUUCUGAGGGACCUUCUUCCCUCAAUCUAAAAUUGCACCUCGAGUAGGGUUACACCUGACUCUAAGUGCGUUCGAGUGGACAUAAUUCACACUCUUCAUUGGAACCGUGCUUCGAUCUCCCUUGAUCAGAAGUGCACAUCACCCAGCACCGAGGUGCCCGGUAUUCAACCAUUACUAGGGCACCUAGCCACUCUCUUUCACUGCACUUUGAUCUAGCUCGCCAAAUCAAAGUGCACCCCACUUGGUGUGAUUUAGCACCUCGUGUUCAUUUUUGUUUGGGUACUAUAUUGAUUGACUGAUAUACUUUUUCACAUGCAUGCAUGAUUACUACAUUCACACUUAUGCACUCAAGCGCAUGAAUUUAAAAGUUUUCCAAAUUUAGUUUCUCGAAAAACCUGCAUCGGGUUUUAAUGCUUCUGGAGUAGGCACCUAAUUCCUAGAGGAAGAGCAGAUGGGAUCAUGGGCCGUCAAUGACAGUACACCCUCUAUAUAUACUCGGCCUCUUACCCCACAAUACUUUGGACCUAUGGUCGCUUAUAGGAGUGACCCAAACCAAAGGUGGGUGUACCCUGAUAUCGUACCUCAUUUCUAAACUAGUUUUUACCCAAGGUAGGAACUCUAAGUCUGGCCUUACUCGUUAGUGGUUUAGAGGUACUCAUGUCUUUUUUCAUGUUUUGUCUACCUAAGUAAAGAGAUGAAUCACGACCCACAUAUGGUGGCGGGAGAGUCGGGUACCGAGUUGACUGCCAAACUCACAACGAAGGUCAAGUAUGUCAUCUGGCCAUCUAGUGAGAUAGCGCACAGCUAUCCCCUGAGACUAUGGGACCCAGCCUUCGCAUGGGCCCGAGGUUAGGUCACUUAGUUGUCUAUCCGAAGACCAUGUUGUUGGUCCGACACUAGGUGUCACCAGGUUUGCGCUACUCAAAGCACCUUGAACAGCCAAGUAGUUGGGCUGGGUGUAGUCCUCCAACAAGUAGGGGUACUACCACCGUCCCGACGCCGGACGCAAGAUAGGGUCUGCAUCCUUAGCGGUGGUCAAGUCGGCGAUUUAAGCAUAGGUGAUCCUCUCUUACCAGUACCUCCUCAUCCUCCUAGUACAGAGCUUUCUACUAAAGGUAGUGCCACAUGAUCCUCUAGUGCCCGCAACAGCCGUAGCGUUGACCGAGCUCCUCUUGGAGCCGCCCAACCUAGUGUAAGAUUAGCAGCUGACCCUAGUAUGGCCCAAUUUCCUCUAGGGGCAAGCCAACCAAUGGUAGACAACACUGUAGAUCCAGGCAGAAUAGCGCAAGUUGUUCUUCAAGCCAUAGGGAAUCCUAGCUUAGGACAAGCAGCAAACUUCUUUGCCCAACCUAAUCUAGGGUCCCCUUCAACCUGGUCAAGCAAAACGCGAUCCGGGGAUGGUCCCGAGCAGGCCCAUUUUGGAACCGUCGUAUCAGUUUUAUAACCCUCAACCCAGGGAAGCUCCUCUUAUGGCACCGACAUACCCGCCAUUGCAUCAGCCGACCCCUCUACACUUGGCUGGUCAAGCAGCUACCUGAGGAAGUAAUGCUUUCGUAUCAUCCGCAUAGGAGCACAUGAAAUACCAAUCCCUAGAAGGUCGGAUGAAAAUCAUGCCUGCAACACUACAAAGGCUUGGGGUCGACGAUCUGGCUCUCAUCGAGCCUUAUGAUGAGUCCUACCUAGAUGGAUUUGCCGAACUACAGAUAAAUUUCUUGCCGCCAGAAUUCGGAAAUCACUUUAAUGGCAAGGGAAAUCCACGACUUCAUGUAACCAGCUAUUUACUAGUCGUAUUAACAAUCCGAGAUAGGCCGGUUACACUUAAAGCAAUGUUUGUCCACUGUCUCGCGGGAGAUGCCAUCACCUAGUAUAAUGAAUUUGCAAUGGACUACUCUGACGCUUCGUGCCGAGUGAUGUUUAAGUGAUUAAUCAUCCAUUUCAGCACCAAGAAACUGUGGAUGAUCUCAGUAGGGGAACUAGUUGCCCUUAAAUAGGGACUGGACGAACCAUUCACCGAUUUUGUCGACAGGUUUAAUGCCAUGGCCUCAAAGGUCACAGAAUGCCUGUUAUCAGACCACGUUAAAAUCAGCAUGAUAUUGGAAAAUGCUAACAAUGAAUACAAUACGUUCUUCAGCCACGGUUGUCCCUCUGACAUUCAAUAUUAUGUCGAAUAUGAUCAUGCUAUAUGAGAGAAUUAAAUCUCAGAUGGCCGGUAUUAAGCCGAGAAAAAAUCGAAAAAUUAAUGAAGCCUCGAGAAGAUCCCGUGGGCUAAACCACAACAAGCUGGGGAGGUAAACUAGAUUAUCCUCCACCAGGCGAAUCCGAGUAAUCAGGAUCGACCAGCUGGCCAAGACCUGCGAGGAAACCAAAAUGGGGGAGGAAACUGAUACAGACCAUACAUUCAGCCCAUCAGGCCGCAAAGAUGCUUCACCUUGUUGAAACAACCUUUGUCCGAAGUACGACAACUUCUGAAGGAAUGAGAUUUGAUUCUUCUGCCACCUUCACCAUCCCACAUGAAUUGAUGGGCAAGAGAAAAUACUGUGAGUGGCAUCAACAUCAUCAACACAAUAUGCAAGAUUGCAUCACCCUAAAGCCUUAAGUCGAAAAUUUGAUAGAAAAGGGAGUCAUUAAAGUGGUGAAACCCAAUGAGCCCAUUAAAGAGGCCAAUCAAAAAAUGGGGAUCGAUGUCAACCCAUUGCCGAUCAAUGAUCCUCAGCCAAGUGCACCACCGCUUACAACCACGAAAGUUCCGGCAUCGGAUCCAAGGGGAAAGGUCGCGAUCCAUACCAUCCUUGAAGAGUCAUACAUUAUACAUCCAUCCCUACUCAUCUUCUCGUGCAUAAUACCGACUACCUUGAUGAUUCUAAGGGAAACUACCUCUCAAGAACCUCUCCAAGACAUCUUGAUGCCCACCAUUCAAAACGUCCAAAGGGAAGUUGUCCCUUUAGAAACUCAAACAUGGCAUCAAGACGUUAUAAUAUCAGUCGCUCAGGAGAUCUCAAAUGUGUUUACCUUCAAGAACCUCUGUUACCACACUAAGAUGUUGAAAUGACAACUAAUGAAGAAGCUAAGCAAGAUGAUUGCUCAUCUCCCAAUAGCCUGGUAGUGAUCAAAGUUGAAGAUGGGUAACCUACUCAGAAAACAACCCAAUUGGAAGGAGCGUACGAGGAGGUUGACACAUGGGUAAAGGUCCAACCCUCCCACAUCCUUACCAAUGGGAUCAUCACUUCGCUUACAAGACAUGGUCACCAUUUCAAGCCAACUCGGCUUAGCGCCGACACUUUGCGAGAAAGGAUAGGGAAUAACUUCUCUUUCUCUCUCUUACUCACUCUCCCACUCCCUCGGUCUCUCUCUCUCUUACCCUUUCUUUCUUUCCCUUGCUCAUUCUCCCUUUCCCUCGGUCUCUCUCUCUUACUUUCUCUCCCCUUCUCGGUCUCCUACAGUCUCUCUCUUUCUCUUACCCUCUCAUUCUCUCUCUCGAUCCUUCUCUCCCCCUCUCGGUCUCCUACGCUCUCUCUCUUUCUUUUCUCUCUCGCUCACUCUUUCUCUCUCACGAUCUCUCUCCCUCUCUUACCCUCUCUCUCUCACUCUUUCUCUCCCUCAGUCUCUCUCUCUCUCGUUUUCCCCUCUCUUUCUCACUCUCCUUCUCUUUCUUUCUUCCCCUCUUUCUCUCUCACUCUCUUUUCUCUCUCUCAUUCUCUUCUCCAUUUUUAUCUACCUCAUACUCUCUCUUUCCAUCUCUUUUAAGCUCCUCCCUCUUCUCCCCUCUAACACUCUACUUCUUCGACUCUCACUCUAUCUCUUCUACUAUCAUCUCACCCCUCUCUUGACUAUAUNNNNNNNNNNNNNNNNNNNNNNNNNNNNNNNNNNNNNNNNNNNNNNNNNNNNNNNNNNNNNNNNNNNNNNNNNNNNNNNNNNNNNNNNNNNNNNNNNNNNNNNNNNNNNNNNNNNNNNNNNNNNNNNNNNNNNNNNNNNNNNNNNNNNNNNNNNNNNNNNNNNNNNNNNNNNNNNNNNNNNNNNNNNNNNNNNNNNNNNNNNNNNNNNNNNNNNNNNNNNNNNNNNNNNNNNNNNNNNNNNNNNNNNNNNNNNNNNNNNNNNNNNNNNNNNNNNNNNNNNNNNNNNNNNNNNNNNNNNNNNNNNNNNNNNNNNNNNNNNNNNNNNNNNNNNNNNNNNNNNNNNNNNNNNNNNNNNNNNNNNNNNNNNNNNNNNNNNNNNNNNNNNNNNNNNNNNNNNNNNNNNNNNNNNNNNNNNNNNNNNNNNNNNNNNNNNNNNNNNNNNNNNNNNNNNNNNNNNNNNNNNNNNNNNNNNNNNNNNNNNNNNNNNNNNNNNNNNNNNNNNNNNNNNNNNNNNNNNNNNNNNNNNNNNNNNNNNNNNNNNNNNNNNNNNNNNNNNNNNNNNNNNNNNNNNNNNNNNNNNNNNNNNNNNNNNNNNNNNNNNNNNNNNNNNNNNNNNNNNNNNNNNNNNNNNNNNNNNNNNNNNNNNNNNNNNNNNNNNNNNNNNNNNNNNNNNNNNNNNNNNNNNNNNNNNNNNNNNNNNNNNNNNNNNNNNNNNNNNNNNNNNNNNNNNNNNNNNNNNNNNNUCUAACGACAAAUCAGGGUAUUCUGGCUCACUUGUUUGGCAAUCUUAUGUGUGUAUGUUCGUGAGCCGCAGAGUGCAAGCAAGGAAGCUAAAGCCGAACCAACCUCAUGCUAGGGGAGCUUUCCAUCGUGAUCUAAGAGGGCGCCCGCAAAAUGCCCGAGCAUAUCACAAACCCAUCGUGAGAUCAGUCCCACCUCACACCCCAUAAUCCUCUCUCAUUAGUUGGCACCUGUCCCCACGCGCACCUCACACGUUGCGAUUCUCAAGAGAGCGAUCUCGAGCUGUGCCCACACAACCGGGUCUCUGCACGAUCAUCUGACCCAACGAGAUCGAGGCCCAACCAGUUACAGUUAUCAAAAUCCAAAAAAAGGAAUGAAGAGAAGAAGAUGGAACAAGCAAGAGAGUAAAGAAUUCAUGAGCCUUUAGAAAUUUUCAAGGGCUUUGAGGUUGGCGAUUACUUGAGUAAUUUGAGUUGACGCUAUGUUGGUCGAUGCCAUCUCAGAGUUCAGCUUCUCUAACUCUUGAGACUUGCUCUGAGCCUCUGCUCGCUUUCGAUCCAGUCGAGUCUUCAAUCGGUUGAGAUAAGCUUGCAGCUUUUCCAGCUCUUCUUCUGUAACCUUUAUGUUUGCAAGACAGGCUGUGUCUUCAUUCUUGAAGCUAUCCUGUUAAGCAAGGAGAAAGGUCUUCUUCUCAUUAUAGCCUAUCAUCAGAUUCUGAUGUUAAGCUAGGGAGUCCUCUAAGGAAGCCAGAUGAGCUCGACGUAGUUCCUGAACUUUAGAUUCACAUUGCAAAGCCUCUACUCUCCACCAUUCAAGGUUAGUCAAAGGACCUUCGAAUUGGUCAAAGUUCUCCUUCUCAAAAGUUGACACCUCUCAGGGUAGCAGCGAAGUCCCUAACUGUGAUAAUCUCGACUUCAAGAUUAGAGAGGUAACAUCUCUUUAACCCCUGAAGACUUGCCCAUAAAAAGUUCUCUGCCGAAGAAGCCUUCUUAUUCGAUAGGGUGCAGGAUAUUGAAGAAGGCAAAGAUGAAGAACUAACCACAACAAGGGGUAGCAUUUCAGCAAUGAUAGCUGGUUCAUGAGGCACAAGUUCCAAAGUUUCACUCAGGGGAAUAUCUAACUGAGAUUGGGCUUAUGCUUCUGAAAUGAUUGAAGUGGGCACUUCUAGAGCUAUUAUCUUUGUAUCUGGGGCCACACUGAUUGCUCUAAUAUCGUCAUCAAGAAUACUCCCUUCUUCAGUAAUAGUGCAAAAAAAGUCUCCCUGACUCAGUGGUGAGAGGGUCGAAGAUUGCACUAUUUUAGGUUCAGCAAGGCCACCAUCAAUAGGUGCCUCUAUUUCUACCACAGGGGGAGGAACACUCUCUGAGCGACAGCUCAAACUGAAAGAAGUCUGACCAGAUGAAGCCAAUCGAGAUAUGAAAACUUCAAGAUUUGUAAUAACGGACUCUUGAAUGGGAGACACCUCUUUCGAUGGCAGAGUUGGGCUAGAAGAAGAAGGCUUAUUUGCACAUUUCUUUGGCCUGAAAGAUGAAUCAGGUGCUUCACUUGAGAUUGCACAGAAGGAGAUGCACCUAGACUUGAUAAAGCCCUCUUACUCAGUCGGGUACUCUUGCGAUGAACCUCAGGUUUUGCAGUGGUAUUGGAUUCGGUGCUCUCUGAAGCAUUGAGAUCCUUGUAUCAUUUUUUAUGCAAUUGAGAUCCUAUCUAUCAAAGCAUUGAGAUCCUGUUUGGGUCGACCUUCAUAACUAGGGACAACACGACCCUUGGUCCACUUGAAGAUAGAGCAAAGGUCAUAAAAAAGAGACAUGGUUUCACCCUCAAAUGAAAGAUAUUGAAUGCCAGUAUGAUCUACAACCAAUGAUCGAGGCAUACCAAGCUCUUUCUAGCUUAGUUGGUAAUUAAGCUCACAAACUUUGAAAAGAUGGGAGGGGUGAAACGUUUCCCAUGCUUAGUAUCAUUUUUUAUGCAAUUGAUUUCACUCAUGGGUCAUCUUCUAGUAAGAAUGGUUAGUGGUGUUCCACCACCAUCAAUAACCGUCGAUAGCAUGGCCGACACGACCAUAAUGUGGGAUGACAAACUUGCUCAAGCUAGUAAGGGCAAUACAAGUUUCCCAUGCCAUCCGCAAAUUACUAUCUGUCCAGGAUUCGCGCUUUGCACCUGAGGAUGAGGGUCUUGCUAAGAUCCCUUCUUCCCAUACCUCUUCUCAAAUAGCACUGAGAACGAGCAUCAUUGAUCUAAAUCGUGUUGGCGUGAAAAUCUAUGAGCAUAAUACCCUCAAGCUUCUUAUCCCCAGCACCCCUAUAAGGCAAAAUGUAUCCCCUAACACUUAGGAGACACAUGGCUUCCCGGGUCUCAGUGGUAUGACCGUCGAAGACCUUACCAAAGGCAUCAGUAUAAACAUGGUUAGUGGGGCCGCCUACUGGGAAAAGACUCCCGUCGGAGAAGAAAGAACUAUUAGCAAGGAAUCAGUGUGCCUCACCCGGUCCUCUGAAUAUAGCCUUCAUUCCAGUGAUUCUCAGCAUAUGGGGGCCAAGCAUACCAACAUGUCUUCAUUGAUCUGGUAUGCUUCAGCUGCAUAAGGAGAUUAUUUCUUAGGAAGGUACGCUAAGAGCCAGCCAAAAAUAUAGUGAACAGGGAAGGUUGUUGUAAAACGACUAGGAAGAACCUCUCCUUCAAAAGAUUCACCUUUGGUAUCAUUGGAUAAUUCCUUGCCUCCCUAGACCGUGGUAUAUGCUACACAGGACUAGCUGACCUAGGGCAUACUGACACCCUUGAGCAAGCUUACAAGCCACAAAAAAACAGCCAGGGCGGAUGGCAUUACUCCUUGACCUUGGGAGUGAAAAUUUGCACAAGAAGAGAGUGAGAUAAGCGACCAUGUACGCAUGAUCCUUUUCAAGUCUUCUAAGAGGAAUCACGGGGUCUUUGGUCUCUGUCACUACCUCUUGAAUAUCCUCAUCCCAGAUGGCACUGGAAAUGGAUUCCUCCUUGUCUUGAUGGUUCCCAUGAAAUAAAUCUCAUCAUGCAUUGAAAUGUAACAUUCUAUCAUUGUUCUCUGAAAGUAAGAGCUGAUAGAUUUCAAACAGCUCGCGAAGACAUGGAGGUGGUGCUUCGCCAUUGAUGGGUUGGGUUCUAAAAAUCACCCCAUUACUAGAAAUGAACUCCUCAUAAAUGGCUCCUAACAUGGUCAACCCGCCAUUAAAAUACAUGUCAAGGAGAGUGAUUGCCCCUUCGCCAUGAUCAAGGAGCCAGCUAUUGCUCUUGAAGCAUCUGGCUUCCAAUAGGGCUCUGAUGGUGUUAGAACACCUGUCAUAAUACCCGGCCGAACACUGACAAGCUGCAGCUAGGGCACAGGAUUCCAAGUCAUUAGCAUGUGAUUGAAGGACGCAAAGGUCCACAUGCUAUAACCCCUCAUAUAUUGGUUCUCUCCUCCAAAUAGGAGCCCACAAGAUGCCCAGUCAAGACCCUUCUUUUCCAUCAUUCGUUUCCCUAGGGUGAGAAGGUUUUCACUUGAAUCAUAGUUCCCAUGAAGAGAAUGAUGUAUAGGUAUACCCUCACCUUGUAUCACAGGUUCACCAUUUGCAUCCUCAUAAAGAUAGGAUCAAGCAUCUUCACCUAAAUAGGUGACGCUCAAGGGCCAUUCUAGUUUCUGGGUGACGUCAAGAACACCGAGAGAUAAAGAUCUUAUGAAGGAAGCACCUGUGUAGGACUCAGUGCCCAACUCUCUAAGACGUGGUAAAUGAUUCACCUCAAGAAUUUUUAAUGCAUAAGAGGCACAAAAGAAGAGUAAGAAAAUGAGAAAAAUGACAAUUCAGUAUGCUAUGGUUUUCAAGUAAAAGAAGAAAAGAAAGCAUCAGGAAUUUCGACAGCAUCUCCUUUCUAUGCAAGAGGAUGACAGAAAAGGUGUUUGGCUAAUCCAAAGUACACGGGAGGUUCUAAGAAAUCACUAGUCCAUGGGUCAAAGCCCAUCACGAAAAGUGAACCUCAAGAUCUCCCUUUUCUAGCAUAAAAGUGCUCAAGAAUGCAUAAAGAUGCAUGAAAAUGCAUAAAAAUGCAUAAUUACGCUAAAAAAUGCAUAACCAUCUACAAAAGUGCUCAGAAAAUGCAUAAUUAUGUAUAACUAUGCUUAACCAUGCUCAACUACAUCAGAAAGUGCAUAAAAAUGCAUGACAAUGCCUAGAAGUGCUCAAUGGAGUCUAAAGAUGCAUAACCAUGCCAUGGAGAUGCUGAAAAUAUAAAGUCAUGAUACAAAAAUACAUUAAGAAUGCAAGGGGUACAUGAAAGUGCUAAAAAGAUGCUUUGGAUGCUAAGACAUGCAUGAAAGAAUAUGGGAAAUGAAGGGUUGCACCAGAAUGUGAAGGGUCGCAUAAAAAAAAAAAAAGUUCUUCAAGAUGAUCAUGGUGCUCAAGGAAAUAUUCGUGAUGCUCAGAAGGAUUCAAAAAGACAUUCGUGAUGCUCAAGAAAAUAUUUGGGGAUGCUCAAGAGCAUGUUUGUAAUGCUAAAAAAUUAUUCCUGAGGUUUAAAGUGACGAUCAUGAUGCCCAAGAAAAUAUUGAUGGUGCUCAAAAAUAUUGAUGAUGUUCAAGAAAUAUCUGUGACGCUCAAGAGUAUGUUCGUAAUGCUCAGAAAAUAUUCAUAAGGUUCAAAGUGAUAUUCGUUAUGCCCAAAAAUAUUCGUGGUGCUCAUAGAAUUGUUCAGGAUGCUCAAGAUAUGCUAAGGGUGCUCAAGAUAUGCUAAGCAUACUCGAGAAAUGUUUAAACAUGUUCAAGGAUGAUCAAUUUAUCAGGACCAUGCUCAAACUAUCAAGGUCAUGCUUAAUGACCAAGACUAUGCCUAAGGCAGGAUAUUCAUGCAUAAAUUCAAACAUGAAGUAUGCAAGGAAGAAGCAAGAAAUGAUGAAGAAGCAUCAAAAUUAUAAACGAAAGAAGAAGGAAAGAAGUUGAUACCUGGAGGGUCAGAUGAGCUAGCCAAGGCUCCCAUCCCCUUUUAGAGUCAUUUUCUCACUCUAAAGAAAGGUUUCUCUCACUCUCUCUAAAAACCAGAAAAUGAAG
Molecule: long non-coding RNA, 17984 nt
Filed under: Amborella trichopoda
Lineage: Eukaryota; Viridiplantae; Streptophyta; Magnoliopsida; Amborellales; Amborellaceae
Description: long non-coding RNA (ATRI_LNC002119)
Source: RNAcentral